This 427-nucleotide ribosomal RNA is filed under the name uncultured bacterium. RNAcentral describes it as "partial 16S ribosomal RNA". It matches the Rfam family "Bacterial small subunit ribosomal RNA", at positions 354 to 796 of the family's 1533-position model. The record is from RNAcentral.
GUGGGGAAUUUUGGACAAUGGGCGCAAGCCUGAUCCAGCGACGCCGCGUGGAGGACGAAGGCCUUCGGGUUGUAAACUCCUUUUGGAGGGGAAGAAUAAAUUGACGGUACCCUCAGAAAAAGCCACGGCUAACUACGUGCCAGCAGCCGCGGUAAUACGUAGGUGGCGAGCGUUACUCGGAAUUACUAGGCGUAAAGCGUAUGUAGGUGGUUAGAUAAGUCUAUGGUGAAAUUUCCUGGCUUAACUGGGAAGGGACAUAGAUACUAUCUGGCUUGAGUGUGGGAGGGGGAGACGGAAUUCCUGGUGUAGCGGUGAAAUGCGUAGAUAUCAGGAGGAACACCGAUGGCGAAAGCAGUCUCCUGGCCCAAUACUGACACUGAGGUACGAAAGCUAGGGUAGCAAACAGGAUUAGAAACCCCUGUAGUCC